UGUCAAGGGAUGGGAAUCGAACCCACGACCUUCCGCUUACCGGGCAGAUGCCAUGGCCACUAAGCUACCCUGGAC
RNAcentral lists this transfer RNA (75 nucleotides) under Cordylochernes scorpioides. RNAcentral's name for it is "tRNA-Thr". Lineage: Eukaryota; Metazoa; Arthropoda; Arachnida; Pseudoscorpiones; Chernetidae. The record is from RNAcentral.